Molecule: ribosomal RNA, 626 nt
Filed under: Silene lanceolata
Lineage: Eukaryota; Viridiplantae; Streptophyta; Magnoliopsida; Caryophyllales; Caryophyllaceae
Description: eukaryotic LSU rRNA
Rfam family: 5.8S ribosomal RNA (bases 248-402)
Source: RNAcentral
UCGAAACCUGCCCAGCAGAGCGACCCGUGAACAUGUUCAACUUCGUGGGUGUUGGGGCGUUGCUCGGUGCCUUGUGCGCCAGCUCGCCCCUCUCCCAGGCCGGGGGAGCUCUCACUGUGGGCAGUUUCCCCGUCCAACCAACGAACCCCGGCGCGUAAAUGCGUCAAGGAAUAUAAACUUUAUGUGUGUGCUCUCUUAUCUCCCGGUUAGCCGGGCGUUGGAGUGGUGCCAUGUCUUAACAAUAAACGACUCUCGGCAACGGAUAUCUCGGCUCUCGCAUCGAUGAAGAACGUAGCGAAAUGCGAUACUUGGUGUGAAUUGCAGAAUCCCGUGAACCAUCGAGUUUUUGAACGCAAGUUGCGCCCGAAGCCUUUGGCUGAGGGCACGUCUGCCUGGGCGUCACGCAUCGCGUCUCCCCCAAAAUCAACCCUUGGUAGAGGGGAAGGAGGAUGGUUUCCCGCGACUCACCGGUCGCGGUUGGCCUAAAAUUGGAGCCCUCGGCAUCGGGAUGCCACGGCGAUAGGUGGUGAACAAGGCCUCGGCCAAGCAAGCAACCCGUCGCGCAUGUCGUGCCAGUGUGGGCUCGCAGGACCCUUUGUCGUUGCCUUUGAGGCAACCAAACCGUU